RNAcentral lists this ribosomal RNA (494 nucleotides) under uncultured bacterium. Its description in RNAcentral is "partial 16S ribosomal RNA". It matches the Rfam family "Bacterial small subunit ribosomal RNA", at positions 28 to 507 of the family's 1533-position model. The record is from RNAcentral.
GACGAACGCUGGCGGCGCGCUUAACACAUGCAAGUCGAACGGAAAGGCCUGCUUUCCCUUGUGGCUUGCGGGUACUCGGGUGGCGAACGGGUGAGUAACACGUGAGUGAUCUGCCCCCAACUUGGGUAUAAGCCUGGGAAACUGGGUCUAAUUCCCGAUAGGACUGCAGGGUGGUGCCGGUGGAGGAGAACGAUUUUCUAGUGGUUGGGGAUGAGCCCGCGGGCUAUGAGCUGGUUGGUGGGGUAAUGGCCUACCAAGGCGGCGACGGGUAGCCGGCCGGAGAGCGGCGACAGCGUCAGUGAGACUGAGAAGCGACCCCGACGCCGAGGGGCGGCAGCGAUUGGUACGAUAGGGAGAAGGGCGGAAUCCUGAAGCAGCGACGCCGCGUUGAGGAUGACGGGCUGCGGGAGGUAAACUCCUUUCGACCGCGAGGAGUCCACCUGGCUGGGAAGGUGGUGACGGUAGUGGUAGAAGAAGCCCCGGCUAACUACGUG